GUGCAGUGUCAGCCUGCAGUCAUGCUACGUCUCUGCUACUGCCUAGGAGUGGAACCAUAGCGCCCACAACUACAUGUUCCUGAGAAUGGAGUGGUAGCUGGAGCAUGGCAAGGCCAUAAUAUCUUUUCUGCCCUGGUUUUUAAGGAGUUCGUGUUGUCAUGUCUCUAAACUGUGAUCCCCAGAUGUACAAGCAAGGAGAAGAAAAGAGAAUUCUGAAUAUCCCCA
This 225-nucleotide long non-coding RNA is filed under the name Fukomys damarensis (Damara mole-rat). RNAcentral describes it as "lncRNA (ENSFDAG00000022725.1)". Lineage: Eukaryota; Metazoa; Chordata; Mammalia; Rodentia; Bathyergidae. The record is from RNAcentral.